Non-coding RNA from Pelobates cultripes (western spadefoot toad), 329 nucleotides. NCBI's taxonomy places the organism in Eukaryota, Metazoa, Chordata, Amphibia, Anura, Pelobatidae. The record is from the annotation of a GenBank genome assembly.
GUUUUUCUUUGUGGAACGCAUAUGCGUUCCACCUAUCGGCGGUUCAAGAUGACGUCAUCGAUCCGUGCGUGGAACGCACAUGCAUUGCACUUCGCCACUUCAGUUCAACGAGGAAAAUCUCAAAACACAAACACUGAAUGUAUUAGGCAAAGUUACACCAAGUUAUCAAAUAUAAAUAUAUUAAGUAUACUUAAACACUCCAUAUGUCUUAAAAUAGAUCUGAUAUACAUUAAAUAUAUAUUGUAGAGCACUUCUCACAGAGAGAAGUGGUUAAGGAUAUCACAAGCUAUAUAGGUGACCAUUCCAAAAAAUACAAUUCACGAUAUCAC